GCGGCCAACAUUUACUUGGAUAGAUAUGAAAGAUUUAUACUCUCAUGACUUACAAACUUCCAAACAUCUACCAUGUUAGAACUGAAAGAUUUAUAGACUCUUCAUGACUUACACGCGGCAUUAUAUUACUUUUAACAACUUUCGUCCAACUAUUAUUUAGGUAACAAUUUGAAAACUUUGAACGUAAUUAAUUAAAGUAUUUAGAUUUAGCAAAUUAACUCUUCUUAAAUUUACUCUUACCCAUUUAUUACAUGCUCUCUGUGUGUGUGCAUGUAUUUAUGUUUACAUAUGGUUUUUUUUUUUUUGUCACAAUGUUUACAUAUGGUUAUUCCAUAAGAAAGAAAGACGAAGCAAGUGAUACCAACGCCACAAAAACAUCUCAAACUCGGCAAGCUAAAACAGGUGAAGUUUUAUUUUGCUCUCCUUAUUUUAAAUAUUACCGUGUUUUAAUAUUAUUAUAUAUACUU
Molecule: long non-coding RNA, 467 nt
Filed under: Brassica rapa (field mustard)
Lineage: Eukaryota; Viridiplantae; Streptophyta; Magnoliopsida; Brassicales; Brassicaceae
Description: long non-coding RNA (BRAP_LNC001449)
Source: RNAcentral